GAUGAAGAACGCAGCGAAAUGCGAUAAGUAAUGUGAAUUGCAGAAUUCAGUGAAUCAUCGAAUCUUUGAACGCACAUUGCGCCCGCCAGUAUUCUGGCGGGCAUGCCUGUUCGAGCGUCAUUUCAACCAUCAAGCCCCAGGCUUGUGUUGGAGCCCUGCGGCUGCCGCAGCCUCCCAAAACCAGUGGCGGGCUCGCUAUCACACCGAGUGCAGUAGUUUACUCUUCGCUCAGGGCGUGUGGCGGGUGCUAGCCGUAAAACCCCCAACUUCUCAAGGUUGACCUCGGAUCAGGUAGGAAUACCAGCUGAACUUAAGCAUAUCAAUAAGCGGAGGA
RNAcentral lists this unclassified non-coding RNA (334 nucleotides) under soil metagenome. Its description in RNAcentral is "partial contains 5.8S ribosomal RNA, internal transcribed spacer 2, and large subunit ribosomal RNA". The stretch from base 1 to 120 matches the Rfam family "5.8S ribosomal RNA", at positions 35 to 154 of the family's 154-position model. The record is from RNAcentral.